AUUCCAGCUCCAAUAGCGUAUAUUAAAGUUGUUGCAGUUAAAAAGCUCGUAGUUGGAUUUCUGGCUAGGUGAAGCGUUCCCCAAGUUGGGUGCGAUGCGGCGCCUUGCCAUCCUUCUGUUAACCUGGGAAGCCUUAACGGCGGCCCACGGGGCUCAGAUAUUUUACCUUGAGAAAAUUAGAGUGUUUCAGGCAGGCUAGCGCCGGAAUACAUUAGCAUGGAAUAAUAGAAUAGGACUUCUGCCUCUUCUGUUGGUCUGAGGGGUUCAAGUAAUGAUUAAUAGGGAUAGUUGGGGGCAUUAGUACUUAACUGUCAGAGGUGAAAUUCUCGGAUUUGUUAAAGACUAACUUAUGCGAAAGCAUUUGCCAAGGAUGUUUUCAUCA
RNAcentral lists this ribosomal RNA (382 nucleotides) under Pelagostrobilidium sp. Its description in RNAcentral is "partial small subunit ribosomal RNA". It matches the Rfam family "Eukaryotic small subunit ribosomal RNA", at positions 582 to 975 of the family's 1831-position model. Lineage: Eukaryota; Ciliophora; Spirotrichea; Choreotrichida; Strobilidiidae. The record is from RNAcentral.